Sinocyclocheilus anshuiensis is the source of this 382-nucleotide long non-coding RNA. RefSeq lists it as uncharacterized. The record is from RefSeq and is a predicted model, not a curated record. NCBI's taxonomy places the organism in Eukaryota, Metazoa, Chordata, Actinopteri, Cypriniformes, Cyprinidae. The transcript has 2 exons.
GCUUCAUCCACAGCUGGGACAAAAAGAACAACCCAGAGCCCUGGAAUAAACUAGGGCCCAAUGAUCAGUACAAGUUCUACGCAGUGAGCAUGGACUACAGCAAGCUGAAGAAGGACAGUCCUGACUUCUAAACGAAUCCAGGGAAUCCAGACGCCCGGUGCUGGACCAAAGGUUUAAAAACAAACUAAAGAACAAGACGUCCGCACACUUUUCCUCAACAGCCCUUGUUCCUAAUUUAUGCAAAGAAGACUAAAUUGCACAAUCUUGUCUUUGCUUUCCUGCAUCCCUCUUUAACAUCUAUGAUGUCUCUUGUAUUUUCUCUCAGUUCUUUGUAGUCAAAAACUAUUAGUAAAGGGUUUCUCCCACAUACAGUGAAAAACCA